RNAcentral lists this unclassified non-coding RNA (213 nucleotides) under plant metagenome. RNAcentral describes it as "partial contains small subunit ribosomal RNA, internal transcribed spacer 1, and 5.8S ribosomal RNA". The record is from RNAcentral.
UUUCCGUAGGUGAACCUGCGGAAGGAUUAUUCAUAAUAAGUGUUUUAUGGCACUUUUUUAAAUCCAUAUCCACCUUGUGUGCAAUGUCAGGGUUGAUUUUUCUCUCGAGAGGAUCAACCCCAAACAUCAACUAUAUCUCAACUCUUUGUCUGAAAAAUACUAUGAAUAAAACAAUUCAAAAUACAACUUUCAACAACGGAUCUCUUGGCUCUC